Molecule: ribosomal RNA, 19 nt
Filed under: polypore sp. E7097
Lineage: Eukaryota; Fungi; Basidiomycota; Agaricomycetes; Polyporales; Polyporaceae
Description: partial 26S ribosomal RNA
Source: RNAcentral
UUGACCUCAAAUCAGGAGG